This 253-nucleotide ribosomal RNA is filed under the name uncultured bacterium. Its description in RNAcentral is "partial 16S ribosomal RNA". It matches the Rfam family "Bacterial small subunit ribosomal RNA", at positions 524 to 776 of the family's 1533-position model. The record is from RNAcentral.
UACAGAGGUCCCAAGCGUUGUUCGGAAUCACUGGGCGUAAAGGGCGCGUAGGCGGCCGAUCAAGUCGGGGGUGAAAGCCUGUGGCUCAACCACAGAAUUGCCUUCGAUACUGUUUGGCUUGAGACCGGAAGAGGUUAGUGGAACUGCGAGUGUAGAGGUGAAAUUCGUAGAUAUUCGCAAGAACACCGGUGGCGAAGGCGGCCUUCUGGACAGUGACUGACGCUGAGACGCGAAAGCGUGGGGAGCAAACAGG